CGACUCCAUGAAGUCGGAAUCGCUAGUAAUCGUGGAUCAGAAUGCCACGGUGAAUACGUUCCCGGGCCUUGUACACACCGCCCGUCACACCAUGGGAGUGGGUUGCAAAAGAAGUAGGUAGCUUAACCUUCGGGAGGGCGCUUACCACUUUGUGAUUCAUGACUGGGGUGAAGUCGUAACAAGGUAACCGUAGGGGAACCUGCGGUUGGAUCACCUCCUUACCUUAAAGAA
This 231-nucleotide ribosomal RNA is filed under the name Escherichia coli. RNAcentral describes it as "partial 16S ribosomal RNA". It matches the Rfam family "Bacterial small subunit ribosomal RNA", at positions 1313 to 1533 of the family's 1533-position model. RNAcentral also lists the same sequence under 1 other name. Lineage: Bacteria; Pseudomonadati; Pseudomonadota; Gammaproteobacteria; Enterobacterales; Enterobacteriaceae. The record is from RNAcentral.